GACGAACGCUGGCGGCGUGCCUAAUACAUGCAAGUAGAACGCUGAAGAGAGGAGCUUGCUCUUCUUGGAUGAGUUGCGCACGGGUGAGUAACGCGUAGGUAACCUGCCUUGUAGCGGGGGAUAACUAUUGGAAACGAUAGCUAAUACCGCAUAACAAUGGAUGACACAUGUCAUUUAUUUGAAAGGGGCAAUUGCUCCACUACAAGAUGGACCUGCGUUGUAUUAGCUAGUAGGUGAGGUAAUGGCUCACCUAGGCGACGCUACAUAGCCGACCUGAGAGGGUGAUCGGCCACACUGGGACUGAGACACGGCCCAGACUCCUACGGGAGGCAGCAGUAGGGAAUCUUCGGCAAUGGGGGCAACACUGACCGAGCAACGCCGCGUGAGUGAAGAAGGUUUUCGGAUCGUAAAGCUCUGUUGUAAGUCAAGAACGGGUGUGAGAGUGGAAAGUUCACACUGUGACGGUAGCUGACCAGAAAGGGACGGCUAACUACGUG
RNAcentral lists this ribosomal RNA (497 nucleotides) under uncultured bacterium. RNAcentral describes it as "partial 16S ribosomal RNA". It matches the Rfam family "Bacterial small subunit ribosomal RNA", at positions 28 to 507 of the family's 1533-position model. The record is from RNAcentral.